Molecule: ribosomal RNA, 493 nt
Filed under: uncultured bacterium
Lineage: Bacteria
Description: partial 16S ribosomal RNA
Rfam family: Bacterial small subunit ribosomal RNA
Source: RNAcentral
AUUGAACGCUGGCGGCAUGCUUUACACAUGCAAGUCGAACGGUAACAGGUUAAGCUGACGAGUGGCGAACGGGUGAGUAAUGCAUCGGAACGUGCCCGGCCGUGGGGGAUAACGCAGCGAAAGCUGCGCUAAUACCGCAUACGAUCUGAGGAUGAAAGCGGGGGACCGUAAGGCCUCGCGCGAUCGGAGCGGCCGAUGUCAGAUUAGGUAGUUGGUGGGGUAAAGGCUCACCAAGCCAACGAUCUGUAGCUGGUCUGAGAGGACGACCAGCCACACUGGGACUGAGACACGGCCCAGACUCCUACGGGAGGCAGCAGUGGGGAAUUUUGGACAAUGGGCGAAAGCCUGAUCCAGCAAUGCCGCGUGCAGGAAGAAGGCCUUCGGGUUGUAAACUGCUUUUGUACGGAGCGAAAAGGCUCUCUCUAAUACAGGGGGCUCAUGACGGUACCGUAAGAAUAAGCACCGGCUAACUACGUGCCAGCCGCCGCAGUAA